Panicum hallii is the source of this 224-nucleotide long non-coding RNA. RefSeq lists it as uncharacterized. Lineage: Eukaryota; Viridiplantae; Streptophyta; Magnoliopsida; Poales; Poaceae. The transcript has 2 exons. The record is from RefSeq and is a predicted model, not a curated record.
CCUGCAUUAAAGUGGGAGCACUAUAAGCUGCAAUCAGAUGAUCAGGGCAUCAUGACUGCAGCGAGGGUUUGGAAUGAGUUCUGGGAGAGGUAUCGUUUGCCGGAGGGGGAGGAGCAGUGCCUACAAGCUAGGGCUCGUUCUGUGUUUGACAAGGCAGCGACGAAGGUGGUUAGGGACAUGAUGUCCAAUGCUCGUAUACAGUGUGUUUGCUUAUACUACAAGAA